UACGGAGGGGGCUAGCGUUAUUCGGAAUUACUGGGCGUAAAGCGCACGUAGGCGGACCAGAAAGUCAGAGGUGAAAGCCCGGGGCUCAACCCCGGAACUGCCUUUGAAACUCCUGGUCUUGAGGUCGAGAGAGGUGAGUGGAAUUCCGAGUGUAGAGGUGAAAUUCGUAGAUAUUCGGAGGAACACCAGUGGCGAAGGCGGCUCACUGGCUCGAUACUGACGCUGAGGUGCGAAAGCGUGGGGAGCAAACAGG
This 253-nucleotide ribosomal RNA is filed under the name uncultured bacterium. RNAcentral describes it as "partial 16S ribosomal RNA". It matches the Rfam family "Bacterial small subunit ribosomal RNA", at positions 524 to 776 of the family's 1533-position model. The record is from RNAcentral.